UUCAGACGGUCAUGUAGCGACU
Molecule: microRNA, 22 nt
Filed under: Oreochromis niloticus (Nile tilapia)
Lineage: Eukaryota; Metazoa; Chordata; Actinopteri; Cichliformes; Cichlidae
Description: oni-miR-10663
Source: miRBase by way of RNAcentral